UUAAUCCCGGUUGAUCCUGCCGGACCCGACUGCUAUUGGGGUGAGGCUAAGCCAUGCGAGUCAGCGCUUCUAGCCAUGAUGGAGCGCGGCAUACGGCUCAGUAACAUGUGGUUAAUCUACCCUCAGGACGGGGACACCCUCGGGAAACUGAGGCUGAUCCCAGAUAGAUAAUGGAUCCUGGAAUGGUUCUUUAUCGAAAUGAUAUGGGGCUCAUGCGCCCUAUGUCGCCUGAGGAUGAGACCGCACCCUAUCAGGUAGUUGGUGGGGUAAUGGCCCACCAAGCCUAUAACGGGUACGGGCCCUGAGAGGGGGAGCCCGGAGAUGGGCACUGAGACAAGGGCCCAGGCCCUACGGGGCGCAGCAGGCGCGAAACCUCUGCAAUGCGCGAAAGCGCGACAGGGCCACCCCGAGUGCUAGGCGAAGAGCCUAGCUUUUCCCUAGUGUAGUAAGCUAGGGGAAUAAGCGGGGGGCAAGCCUGGUGUCAGCCGCCGCGGUAAUACCAGCUCCGCGAGUGGUCGGGACGAUUAUUGGGCCUAAAGCGUCCGUAGCCGGUCUAGUAAGUCUCUGGUUAAACCUCAAGGCUUAACCUUGAAAUUGCUGGAGAUACUGUUAGACUAGGGGGCGGGAGAGGUUGAGGGUACUUCGCGGGUAGGGGCGAAAUCCUAUAAUCCGCGAAGGACCACCAGUGGCGAAGGCGCUCAACUGGAACGCGCCCGACGGUGAGGGACGAAAGCCAGGGGAGCAAAGGGGAUUAGAUACCCCCGUAGUCCUGGCUGUAAACGAUGCGGGCUAGGUGUUGGGUUGGCUUUGUGCCAACCCGGUGCCGCAGUGAAGGCGAUAAGCCCGCCGCCUGGGAAGUACGGCUGCAAGGCUGAAACUUAAAGGAAUUGGCGGGGGAGCACCACAAGGGGUGAAGCCUGCGGCUUAAUUGGAGUCAACGCCGGGAAUCUUACCGGGAGCGACAGUAGAAUGAAGGCCAAGCUGACGACUUUGCUAGACAGACUGAGAGGAGGUGCAUGGCCGUCGCCAGUUCGUGCCGUGAGGUGUCCGGUUAAGUCCGGCAACGAACGAGACCCCCAUCCUUUGUUGCUAGCCUGCUUCUACGGAGGUAGGCGCACACGGAGGAGACUGCCAGUGUUAAACUGGAGGAGGGAGGGGGCUACGGCAGGUCAGCAUGCCCCGAAUCUCCCGGGCCGCACGCGGGCUGCAAUGGCGAGGACAGCGGGUUCCGACCCUGAAAGGGGUAGGUAAUCCCUUAAACCUCGCCGUAGUUGGGAUUGAGGGCUGUAACCCGCCCUCAUGAACAUGGAAUCCCUAGUAACCGCACGUCACCAACGCGCGGUGAAUACGUCCCUGCUCCUUGCACACACCGCCCGUCGCUCCACCCGAGUCAAGCUUGGGCGAGGUUCGGACUUAUUGUCUGUAUCGAACCUACGUUUGGCAAGGGGGGAGAAGUCGUAACAAGGUGGCCGCAGGGGAACCUGCGGCCGGAUCACCUCCUAU
Molecule: ribosomal RNA, 1503 nt
Filed under: Candidatus Methanomethylicus mesodigestus
Lineage: Archaea; Thermoproteati; Thermoproteota; Methanosuratincolia; Candidatus Methanomethylicales; Candidatus Methanomethylicaceae
Description: bacterial SSU rRNA
Rfam family: Archaeal small subunit ribosomal RNA
Source: RNAcentral